This is a long non-coding RNA of Stylophora pistillata, 395 nucleotides long. RefSeq lists it as uncharacterized. The record is from RefSeq and is a predicted model, not a curated record. NCBI's taxonomy places the organism in Eukaryota, Metazoa, Cnidaria, Anthozoa, Scleractinia, Pocilloporidae.
GCCAUAACACGCUUCCAAAUAAGAGAUUAUUUGCAACUCUUUACAGAGUGUCAGCAAGACAAGCCAAAAGCCAGCUACACAGACAGACACAAGGAAACAGACAUAAAGGAAGAAACGUAAACUGAAUUGUAAAUAUACAAAAGGAGGAACUUAUCAACAAACUUAGCUAACAUCAACACCCCCAAAUAUCAGCUGACAGACUGACGCAUGGCCCGAAUAACAGACCAAAACCAAUCGUAACCUCUGUUCUUCCCCGCGACAAAAAGAUGCACGAGUUUUGCUAUAGAUCUUGAUUACCUUCAGAAAAUCUUCUUUAAAAAAUGUGAUCAUCUUACACUUAGAUGUGCUAUCUGUGACAUAAGGGCAGGAUACAUUAAAAUCUGAUAUUCAGUCGA